This 947-nucleotide long non-coding RNA is filed under the name Gossypium barbadense (sea-island cotton). RNAcentral's name for it is "long non-coding RNA (GBAR_LNC019767)". Lineage: Eukaryota; Viridiplantae; Streptophyta; Magnoliopsida; Malvales; Malvaceae. The record is from RNAcentral.
GAUUUUGGAAAGCAUAUCUUCGAGUGAUUUUAUUUUGAUUGUCAUUGAUGUAAUAGCUAUUUUUAAGAAGUUACUUUGUAUUAACUGUAAGAGCCCAUUUUUGCCCGGCCCAUAAACCAAUAAAAUAAAAAAAAGUCAAAUGAAAUAGCAGUCCAAAUUACAAAAACUCACUAGACCCAACAGUAAGCCCAACAUGGCUCAAACCCAAUUACACUUAGCCUAACUCUCCAGCCCCAAUACAUACUAAACCGAAUAACCCAUUAAACCCUAGCCCAAUCACCAUGCAGCCCAAAACAAGAUCAGAGGCAAGGAACCCUAGAAGCCCCAGCGCCGUUUCCCCACAAGUGCGCCUCCAACCUUCCCUCGGCCCCAUGAGCCUUCACACGCCUCAGCCGCCGCUCCAGCAAGCCAUCAAGCCGCCGACGCCAGCACACAUGUACGCUCCCCCACGCGCGCCUGCCUCUUCACGCAUAGCCUCCGUACAUGCGCGCCCGCGCACCUCUGUACCCGAACCUGCACAACAAACAAGCAGCAGAGACAACGAAAAAUGGGGAUUUUGUAUUUUUUUUAUUUUCUUUUCUCUCGGCCUAUAAAACAAAAGGCCGAAAUGUUUGUAAGGGAAUCAAUACAGAGAGAAUAUCAAUAUACACAAUAUCAAUAGAAAAGAAUCGAGAAAACAGAGUUUUCUUUGAGUUUUGGAAGGUGAUUUCAUUUAUUUUCGCAUUUCUUUGUUCUUUUUUCGUGGCUCUGUUAUUCAUUAGCAAUAAGAUAAUAAAAGAGAAAAUAAGGUUAGAGAGCGAGGGGUUUUACCUGUUUGGCCGGAUCUUCGUUGGCUCCGUCGCAAUCGGAGUCGGACGACGGUUCAAAGGCCUCUGAGCAAUCUUUGCUGAGCGGCACGACUUUGGGGGGGAGAAACGUUUAGUUUUUUUUUUAAAUUUGUUUAAGGC